AUUUAAGUAGUUUAUAUAAAAUAAUGAUUUGUGGUAUCAUAGAAAUUUUUUAUCUUAAAUU
Molecule: transfer RNA, 61 nt
Filed under: Nephaspis sp. DPP-2018
Lineage: Eukaryota; Metazoa; Arthropoda; Insecta; Coleoptera; Coccinellidae
Description: tRNA-His
Source: RNAcentral